Molecule: RNase P RNA, 373 nt
Filed under: Salmonella enterica
Lineage: Bacteria; Pseudomonadati; Pseudomonadota; Gammaproteobacteria; Enterobacterales; Enterobacteriaceae
Also listed under: 3 other names
Description: RNase P RNA component class A
Rfam family: Bacterial RNase P class A
About the family: Ribonuclease P (RNase P) is a ubiquitous endoribonuclease, found in archaea, bacteria and eukarya as well as chloroplasts and mitochondria.
Source: RNAcentral
GAAGCUGACCAGACAGUCGCCGCUUCGUCGUCGUCCUUUCGGGGAGACGGGCGGAGGGGAGGAAAGUCCGGGCUCCAUAGGGCAGGGUGCCAGGUAACGCCUGGGGGGGAAACCCACGACCAGUGCAACAGAGAGCAAACCGCCGAUGGCCCACGUAAGUGGGAUCAGGUAAGGGUGAAAGGGUGCGGUAAGAGCGCACCGCGCGGCUGGUAACAGUCCGUGGCACGGUAAACUCCACCCGGAGCAAGGCCAAAUAGGGGUUCAUAAGGUACGGCCCGUACUGAACCCGGGUAGGCUGCUUGAGCCAGUGAGCGAUCGCUGGCCUAGAUGAAUGACUGUCCACGACAGAACCCGGCUUAUCGGUCAGUUUCAC